GGGGAAAAAUUGUGGUGCCAAAGCUAUUGCCACAAUAUAAAGUGCUCUAUUGCAACACUAUAAUUUUCGUUGUGCAAACAUGUGGCAACCAAAAGGGGGUCGUGGUAAUAGCCUAUUGCAACCAUAAAAAAAAUAUGGCAUUCAAUUACACUAUUCAAAACCGUACAUAUAAUAGAUUCAUAAAACUCAUAAUUCUCAUAGCAAACCAUCAAAUGAAACUGGCCCAGUCAUAGACUAAAUUGUGCGUGGUCUCGAGUCUAGUCCAGGUAGUUUUUUGGAUCCUCCGUCAUCUCGAGUCCAGUCCAGCUAGUUAUUUGGAUCCUGCAAUCAAGAAAUCAAAAAAAACAUCCAGUUAAUGAGCCUAGUAUAACAUACCUCAAAAAUCAUAUCGAUGGUACUGCAAUAAUCCAAAAAACUCUUUUACAGAGACCUAGUCCUAAUAAGAAAGGACACAUCAUUUCGAUGAGAUAUUUUCUGGGACUCAGUAUGUGACUGUUAAUAAUUACUUUCCAAAGAUCUGUGAAAUCUUCUAUCUAUUAUAUACUUAAAACGAUAGAAAACGAACGGCUAAGACGUAACAGUAAAAAAAAGCUUGAAAGAACGAUCAGGAUUAGUUUUAAAGUACACGUAUGCAUGAUUCCUGUUCACGUGCAUGUCCACAUCGUGAGCAUUGUAAGACUGAGGGAAGGUGUCCAAGAGACAUACGCUAUACUUGAACUAAUAAAGGAUUCCUGAAGGCACACUUAUAUUGAUUUUAAAACAUCCGAUCUUCACAAGGAAAAUAUUUCAGAAAUAUAAUUAGGAAACAGAAAAAACAAGGAAAGAAAACACGUAAUGUGAGCAAUCAGAUCUUUUCCUUUUUAUGGUCAAUAAUGUUUACAAUUUUAAGAAUCUGACACGUGCAAGGUUUAACCAUAUUUACAAAGAAAAAUUCCUAUACAUGUUGGUCUAGGAUACGCAGCAGCUUUCUAAGAAAAGAUACAAGGCACCUAAUCAAUCGGUUUACAACCGGCUGUACAGAACUUUUCUUAACACUUGCGGAAAAAACUUAACCGGCAAGGUUGAUGUCAUGUCACGGACAGCCAUCCAUGAAUCCAUCCAUGAAACGCGUACGUGCAAAAUUCGUGUUUCUCACAUAAUGGGUGAUGUCAACAUCAUCUAAUUCUUUUUCUUAGCAAUCAGCAAUAUCUAAUUAAUCACAUAUUUUUCAAAUAAUAAAAUAGUUCUAUCUUUGUUUUUGUUUACAUGCUCUACAGAUGAGACGGGAUAUUUUUUGAGGGGUAAAUCAGACGCGAUGUUGAUUCUCAAUGUCACCAUCGACGAAGUAACAGAUUAUUAAAUAUAUUUUUAUAAUCAAAUAUACAAUCGACUGAGAUAAUUAACUUAAUCUAAACCUUAGAGUUACCUUUCCCUAGAUAAUAAGCAAUAUACUAUGCUUUCGGAAUACUAUGUAACAUGUCCUGCAUAAGUACAUGCAUGCACACUUUUAAUAUAUUAAUGUAACAUGUCAUGAUUUUUUAUGUCAAUAAAUUCAUAUAAGAUAUCCAAGGCCUCAUGGGUAUUGCUACACUCCUUAAUCCACGGUUUAAGAUUGAUAUGCUGCAUGUGUGCUUUGAAAUGCUCCUUGGUGACGAGUCCAUUAUUGAUGCUGAGAGUAAAGUUUGGGAAAAAAGCUGGGCCAAUAGUCUUCACACAAAUAUUUUUGGGCUUGUUGUCCUAGCUAACAUGGCCAGCUAUGUUAUUCUUUUCUUUCCUAGUAUUGGAAUUCCAAUCGGAACCAGCUGCACGUCAAUUCCUUCGGAAAACAAACCCUUUUAAAAAAAACUGCAACGUCCCUUGUCCCCCUAAAAAAAAAAAUUAGCAUCCCUAGUUUAUAGUUUACACGUGUCCUUCUCCUAUACACAAACCUGAUUACAAAUUUUCAUUGUACAAACAAACGCAACAGACGCAACAGACGUGCAUGUCCAAAAGAAUAUAUGCAUGCACCCAUACAUAUCAGGACCAUGAUGCGGGCUUUAAAAGGUAAUUUUUAAAGUAGGUAUCCUAAUUAAUAUCCAUCGUUAAAAUAUCUAUGGCUUUCAUUGUUCAAUAUUCACCGUUCCUUUUCUAUUGUCUUAAUAAUAUAAUAGAUAGAUAACGUUGUAGGUGAAAAUGAAGAGAAAGCAAAGUUGUGACUUACAAUUGCUUUAAACAUUCGAGAAUUUCUUGUUGAAGCAUGUAUGAGCGCAUUUGAAGAAAUAACAGUUGGCCUUCCACCUGCAGCCUUAUUAGCACUAGGUCUCUGUAAAAG
This 2290-nucleotide long non-coding RNA is filed under the name Hordeum vulgare. RNAcentral's name for it is "long non-coding RNA (HVUL_LNC005587)". The record is from RNAcentral. Lineage: Eukaryota; Viridiplantae; Streptophyta; Magnoliopsida; Poales; Poaceae.